This is a long non-coding RNA of Eublepharis macularius, 602 nucleotides long. RefSeq lists it as uncharacterized. The record is from RefSeq and is a predicted model, not a curated record. The transcript has 4 exons. Lineage: Eukaryota; Metazoa; Chordata; Lepidosauria; Squamata; Eublepharidae.
UCUGCCCUUCCCAGCCUGCACCUCCCGUUCCUUAAAGGCGCAGCAAGCUGCAAUCGGCUACCACGUUUUAUUCGCAAACCUGAAAACGGAAGUCUUUGCAGCAGUAUGGGAGAAAGAAGAGACUCCGCGCAUCGUUACUCCGGCGAAAAAGUCCCACUGUUUUAGUGCUGCUCCCCAUAGAAGAAAUAAACCCUACCAAGCCCCUAUAUGCACACAUCCCAUGACUGUUCUGUAACUGCUACUGGUACACGUGUACAGCAAGAGUUUUUGCAGCCCUGAUGGAGAUACUGUUGCCUAUGCCAACUCCUCUCAACAAGACCUGAAGAUCUUCAUGCUUUAUCAGAAGCUCUUUUUAAAACUUCAAGUUUCAGCAGUGGCUUUUGAUGUGGCAGAAAUGAGGUACUGUCCUUUAGAAAACGAACUAAGAAGCCCUAAAGUAUAUAAAGGUUCCUCAGUAGCUUGUGCCAUAUGGGACUGAAAGUGACUCCACAGACGGAAAUUGGUUCGGAAUGCCUUGUUACACACAUGGCAAAUAAAGGGCUUCACAGAACACAAAAGCUCUUGGUGACGUUCUAGCUGCUUGUGCACAGUAAAGAUUUUCC